This 980-nucleotide ribosomal RNA is filed under the name Bacillus aerius. Its description in RNAcentral is "bacterial SSU rRNA". It matches the Rfam family "Bacterial small subunit ribosomal RNA", at positions 68 to 1034 of the family's 1533-position model. The record is from RNAcentral. Lineage: Bacteria; Bacillati; Bacillota; Bacilli; Caryophanales; Bacillaceae.
GACAGAAGGGAGCUUGCUCCCGGAUGUAGCGGCGGACGGGUGAGUAACACGUGGGUAACCUGCCUGUAAGACUGGGAUAACUCCGGGAAACCGAAGCUAAUACCGGAUAGUUCCUUGAACCGCAUGGUUCAAGGAUGAAAGACGGUUUCGGCUGUCACUUACAGAUGGACCCGCGGCGCAUAGCUAGUUGGUGAGGUAACGGCUCACCAAGGCGACGAUGCGUAGCCGACCUGAGAGGGUGAUCGGCCACACUGGGACUGAGACACGGCCCAGACUCCUACGGGAGGCAGCAGUAGGGAAUCUUCCGCAAUGGACGAAAGUCUGACGGAGCAACGCCGCGUGAGUGAUGAAGGUUUCGGAUCGUAAAGCUCUGUUGUUAGGGAAGAACAAGUGCAAGAGUAACUGCUUGCACCUUGACGGUACCUAACCAGAAAGCCACGGCUAACUACGUGCCAGCAGCCGCGGUAAUACGUAGGUGGCAAGCGUUGUCCGGAAUUAUUGGGCGUAAAGGGCUCGCAGGCGGUUUCUUAAGUCUGAUGUGAAAGCCCCCGGCUCAACCGGGGAGGGUCAUUGGAAACUGGGAAACUUGAGUGCAGAAGAGGAGAGUGGAAUUCCACGUGUAGCGGUGAAAUGCGUAGAGAUGUGGAGGAACACCAGUGGCGAAGGCGACUCUCUGGUCUGUAACUGACGCUGAGGAGCGAAAGCGUGGGGAGCGAACAGGAUUAGAUACCCUGGUAGUCCACGCCGUAAACGAUGAGUGCUAAGUGUUAGGGGGUUUCCGCCCCUUAGUGCUGCAGCUAACGCAUUAAGCACUCCGCCUGGGGAGUACGGUCGCAAGACUGAAACUCAAAGGAAUUGACGGGGGCCCGCACAAGCGGUGGAGCAUGUGGUUUAAUUCGAAGCAACGCGAAGAACCUUACCAGGUCUUGACAUCCUCUGACAACCCUAGAGAUAGGGCUUUCCCUUCGGGGACAGAGUGA